RNAcentral lists this ribosomal RNA (510 nucleotides) under Triticum aestivum (bread wheat). RNAcentral describes it as "partial small subunit ribosomal RNA". The record is from RNAcentral. Lineage: Eukaryota; Viridiplantae; Streptophyta; Magnoliopsida; Poales; Poaceae.
AUGAAAAGAGGAGGAUGGUCUAACCCCCCGACGGGAUUUGUUAAACUUAACGUUGAUGCUUCUUUUGACCACGACCUUCUCAGGGGUACGAUCGGGGCUGUCUUAAGAGAUGACAAAGGUAGGUUCAUCAGUGGGGGAAAUGGUAAGAUUAACUGGUGUGCAGAUGUGUUGAUGGCUGAAGCUUUGGCGUUAAAAUUUGGCCUAUCGCUUGCGCAAAGGACGGGUUGUAAUCGCAUAAUUAUUAACUCGGAUAAUAUGGAGGUGAUCGAGACCAUGAACGAAGGAGGACGAUCGUCGGGGGCAGCUGCUGCAAUUUUUGAUGACUGUUUUCACUUAGCUUGCGACUUCCCUAUUUCUAGAUUCGAGCAUUGUAAUAGAGAAGCAAAUAAAGUUGCUCAUGAACUUGCCAAGUUGGCUAGAUUUUCUUUCAUUUCUGAUUGGUUUGAGGAACCACAUAAUGCAAUUGUACCAAUCCUCAUAAACGAUGUAAUGAUUAUUUCUAAUGAAUAA